RNAcentral lists this ribosomal RNA (507 nucleotides) under uncultured bacterium. RNAcentral describes it as "bacterial SSU rRNA". It matches the Rfam family "Bacterial small subunit ribosomal RNA", at positions 28 to 534 of the family's 1533-position model. The record is from RNAcentral.
GAUGAACGCUAGCGGCAGGCUUAACACAUGCAAGUCGAGGGGUAACAGGUCUUCGGACGCUGACGACCGGCAAACGGGUGCGGAACACGUACGCAACAUACCCACUACAGGGGGAUAGCCCGGAGAAAUCCGGAUUAACACCCCAUAGUAUGCUUGGAGGGCAUCCUUUAAGCAUUAAAAAUCUAUUGGUAGUGGAUUGGCGUGCGUCCCAUUAGAUAGUUGGCGGGGUAACGGCCCACCAAGUCAGCGAUGGGUAGCUGGUGUGAGAGCACGACCAGCCACACGGGCACUGAGACACGGGCCCGACUCCUACGGGAGGCAGCAGUGAGGAAUAUUGGUCAAUGGGCGCAAGCCUGAACCAGCCAUGCCGCGUGGAGGAUGACAGCCUUCUGGGUUGUAAACUUCUUUUAUAUGGGAAGAAAAGCGAGGUUUCUACUUUGUCCGACGGUACCAUAUGAAUAAGCACCGGCUAACUCCGUGCCAGCAGCCGCGGUAAUACGGAGGGUG